CAGGGAGACAACAAAAUGUUUAAUAUUAUUAUUUUGUCACCUUAGGUCGAUCGGUAUCUCACGUUUUUAAUUUAUUAAGAAUUUCAUUUCCUAAGUUUUUCUAGGUCACACCCAUUAUUUUUCCUGGGCCAUUAGCUCAGGUGGUUAGAGCGCACCCCUGAUAAGGGUGAGGUCCCUGGUUCAAGUCCAGGAUGGCCCAUAUCUCUAUGUUGGGGGUAUAGCUCAGUUGGUAGAGCGCCUGCUUUGCAAGCAGGAUGUCAGCGGUUCGAGUCCGCUUACCUCCACUGAUUACCACCUCUUCCAUAACCGAUAGAAAGGAAAUGUUUUGAGUUGUGAUCAAAUUCUGAAAGAAUCUAGCUUCCUAAUGAAAUCAUUAAGAUGCUGGACUCAUUGAAUUAAUUUCAUUGUUUUCAGAGAACCUUGACAACUGCAUAGAUUAUUUUAAAGACAAUAAGCAUCUUUAAUGAUGCAGAUUUAUUAUUUGUGCGAAUGCAUUAAUAACAAUUCUAUUGAGCUGAUGCUUCAAUUUUGAAGUUAUU
This 539-nucleotide transfer RNA is filed under the name uncultured cyanobacterium. Its description in RNAcentral is "partial 16S-23S ribosomal RNA intergenic spacer". The stretch from base 212 to 284 matches the Rfam family "tRNA". Lineage: Bacteria; Bacillati; Cyanobacteriota. The record is from RNAcentral.